RNAcentral lists this long non-coding RNA (242 nucleotides) under Elaeis guineensis (African oil palm). Its description in RNAcentral is "long non-coding RNA (EGUI_LNC038570)". Lineage: Eukaryota; Viridiplantae; Streptophyta; Magnoliopsida; Arecales; Arecaceae. The record is from RNAcentral.
GCAUACUUAAUACAAGCUUCGCACUCAAAAGUUAAAUCUCAUACAAUAUAUGCUAUGUUCCUUAAAUUCAUUGUGACUAUUGAGGGAUUGUGUCACUUGAUCAGCAACAAAGAGGAGGAAACUUUUCACUUAUAUUUCACCAAAUCAGCUUGUAGAGCUUAUGGUGAGCAACCAAGGUCAUAAAGGGGAAGGGAGGAGUUGUUCAUGGUGGUGAGCGGCAUCGAUCUCAAGGAGGGGAGUGA